RNAcentral lists this ribosomal RNA (253 nucleotides) under uncultured bacterium. RNAcentral's name for it is "partial 16S ribosomal RNA". It matches the Rfam family "Bacterial small subunit ribosomal RNA", at positions 15 to 257 of the family's 1533-position model. The record is from RNAcentral.
GAUCAUGGCUCAGGAUGAACGCUAGCUACAGGCUUAACACAUGCAAGUCGGAGGGGCAUCAGGAAGAAAGCUUGCUUUCUUUGCUGGCGACCGGCGCACGGGUGAGUAACACGUAUCCAACCUGCCCUUUACUCGGGGAUAGCCUUUCGAAAGAAAGAUUAAUACCCGAUGGCAUAAUGAUUCCGCAUGGUUUCAUUAUUAAAGGAUUCCGGUAAAGGAUGGGGUAUACGUUCCAUUAGGUUGGUUGGUGAGG